AGGAUUAACGCUGGCGGCGUGCCUAACACAUGCAAGUCGAACGAGGUAGCAAUACCUAGUGGCAGACGGGUGAGUAACGCGUGGUCAACCUACCGUUGAGUGGGGGAUAACUAGCCGAAAGGUUAGCUAAUACCGCAUACGAGUCUCGGGGGCAUCCCUGGGUCUUAAAAGGAGCAAUCCGCUCGAUGACGGGACCGCGUCCCAUUAGCUAGAUGGUGGGGUAAUGGCCUACCAUGGCUCCGAUGGGUAGCUGGUUUGAGAGAGCGACCAGCCACACUGGGACUGAGAAACGGCCCAGACUCCUACGGGAGGCAGCAGUGAGGAAUUUUCCGCAAUGGGCGAAAGCCUGACGGAGCGACGCCGCGUGUGGGAAGAAGGCCUUCGGGUCGUAAACCACUGUCGAAGGGGACGAUAAUGACGGUACCCUUGGAGGAAGCCCCGGCUAACUACGCGCCAGCAGCCGC
This 464-nucleotide ribosomal RNA is filed under the name uncultured bacterium. Its description in RNAcentral is "SSU rRNA". It matches the Rfam family "Bacterial small subunit ribosomal RNA", at positions 26 to 518 of the family's 1533-position model. The record is from RNAcentral.